RNAcentral lists this transfer RNA (86 nucleotides) under Candidatus Aenigmatarchaeota archaeon. Its description in RNAcentral is "tRNA-Leu". It matches the Rfam family "tRNA". From Rfam's summary of the family: Transfer RNA (tRNA) molecules are approximately 80 nucleotides in length. Their secondary structure includes four short double-helical elements and three loops (D, anti-codon, and T loops). The record is from RNAcentral. Lineage: Archaea; Nanobdellati; Candidatus Aenigmatarchaeota.
GCAGGGGUACUCAAGUUUGGUCAAAGAGGCAAGGUUGAGGGCCUUGUGCGUUAGUCGCUGCGCGAGUUCAAAUCUCGUCCCCUGCA